UUGCUCUUCAACGAGGAAUACCUAGUAAGCGUGAGUCAUCAGCUCGCGUUGAUUACGUCCCUGCCCUUUGUACACACCGCCCGUCGCUACUACCGAUUGAAUGGCUUAGUGAGGUCUUGGGAUUGGCUUCGGGGAGCCGGCAACGGCACCUUGUUGCUGAGAACUUGAUCAAACUUGGUCAUUUAGAGGAAGUAAAAGUCGUAACAAGGUUUCCGUAGGUGAACCUGCGGAAGGAUCAUUAACGAGUUCUUGAACGGGUUGUAGCUGGCUCUUUUUUAGGAGCAUGUGCACGCCUGGCUCAAUUCCACUCCUUAACCUCUGUGCACUUAUUGUAGGUCGGUGGAGGCUGGCGCAAGUCAGUUUGAAGCCUUCCUAUGUUUUAUUACAAACGUAUCAGUUAUAGAAUGUCUUACUUUGCUAUAAUGCAAUUAUAUACAACUUUCAGCAACGGAUCUCUUGGCUCUCGCAUCGAUGAAGAACGCAGCGAAAUGCGAUAAGUAAUGUGAAUUGCAGAAUUCAGUGAAUCAUCGAAUCUUUGAACGCACCUUGCACCCCUUGGUAUUCCGAGGGGUAUGCCUGUUUGAGUGUCAUGGUAUUCUCAACCCCCAAAUUCUUUAUUGAGUCUUGGUGGGCUUGGACUUGGGGGUUGUGCUGGAUUUUUAUUAAUUCAGCUCCUCUGAAAUAUAUUAGUGUGAAUCUUACGGAUCGCCUUCAGUGUGAUAAUUGUCUACGCUGUGGUUGUGAAGUAUAUUUGUAUUCAUGCUUCUAAUCGUCUCUUACUUGAGACAAUUACAUCUUUGACAUCUGACCUCAAAUCAGGUAGGACUAUCCGCUGAACUUAAGCAUAUCAAUAAGCGGAGGA
RNAcentral lists this ribosomal RNA (862 nucleotides) under uncultured fungus. RNAcentral's name for it is "eukaryotic LSU rRNA". The stretch from base 1 to 241 matches the Rfam family "Eukaryotic small subunit ribosomal RNA", at positions 1593 to 1831 of the family's 1831-position model. The record is from RNAcentral. Lineage: Eukaryota; Fungi.